This 479-nucleotide long non-coding RNA is filed under the name Citrus x clementina. Its description in RNAcentral is "Citrus clementina (C. clementina) long non-coding RNA (CCLE_LNC002120)". Lineage: Eukaryota; Viridiplantae; Streptophyta; Magnoliopsida; Sapindales; Rutaceae. The record is from RNAcentral.
AAUCGGGGGCCCCGAUCAUGAGUUACGACCCCUUCUUUGCGGCCCCCGAGGCCGUGCGCUAUAGCCCCCCGGGCGCCCCCGCCGCCGACCGCACCCGUCCGAACCCGACCACCUCACCCGCCGUGUGCCGAUCCCGCCCCGCGGUCCCCCCCGGGGCAUGAACCGCCGCCCGGGGGGCCGAAACCGGCAAAACGUGCCAAACGGCCCCGAUCUUACCCAUUUUUCGGCGAUCCAACCGCAGCACGGCUACCCCCCCAUCCCGAUGCCCCCGGACCGCUGUUCCCGUGGGACCAAACGGAAACGGAAUCGGAGGCCCGGAUCAUGAGUUACGGCCGAAACCGGCAAAGCCUACUAAGCGGCCCCCGAUCUUGCCCAUUUUUCGCCGUUCAAACUGCCGCGCGGCUGCCCCCCCAUCCCGAUGCCCCCGGACCGCUGGUCCCGUGGGACGAAACGGAAACGGAAUCGGGGGCCCCGAUCAU